AAAUUCCCGCCUAUCCUCGAUGCUUAAAGGCGUCCUCAAGAUGCUUCGUUGCUUUUAGGCGUCGUUCAGGACACGUGCAGUGCAUGUGUUAUGUUAAAUAGCGCAUCACCUUAGGAAUGCUAUACAAGAAGCAAAACCGCCUACUCUAACUUCCCACUUCAGUACUCCACGCACACACGAACCCUAAUUCUUCACAAUUCAAUCUCAGUCUCAAAUCUAGCAUAAUUCACUGUUCAGUUCGUGUGCCCAGCAGGUAUGUCUCCGAUUCUUACCGUAUUUUUCUAUUUUUUUGUUUUUCAUUUCUUCGAUUUCUUCAUUAAAUUGUUCAUCUUCAACCUCCUAUCAGUCUUAAAGCAAUUGCGAAGAUUUUCGCGAAAUCGGAAUAUUUGACAACGAAUUUUUAGAAAUUUCAAUACAAGUCGUCAGUAGAUUUGUCUCGAAUGAUUGCCUUUUUCUGCAAUUAUGUAACAUUCUCAUCCGAUUUUCUAAUUUCCAUAAAAAUUCUGCAAUUUCACAUCGAAUUUCUUGAAAUUUCCAUGGAAGCUGCACACGACAACGAAAUUCUUUUGCUAGAUCUUAUUAAGUAGUUAGCGUUUUAAGGCUUCAAUUGGUGCUAAGGUCUGUGAAAUUCUUUAUGGGUUCUCUUUGUUUCUAUUAUAACUUCUCUAGACCCGUGUUAUAAAUUUUGUUUGGAAUAUCCUAGUCUUAUUUGGUCAUUAAUUGCUCAAUUAAGCCUUCGAUUAUUAUAAAUUUGCAUUAUUAGUUUAAAGUUGCGUAAUUAACCCUUCAAUUAGUAUGGCAAGAGGAGUUGAUAAAUAUCAAAUAAUAGUAUAACUUCAACUUAUCAUGAAAGAUUGGUUAUUACACUCCUGAGAUGAUUGAACCCCUCUCGCUGGAAGCUAACGAAGUGCCUAGUACAGGUGUUUGAUGUUUUAAUCUAAAUGCAUUACCAAGCUGAAUUGCUCUUCACAAAGAGAAGAAAGCAGAAAGGCUAUAAAGAGUUUGGCUGACAUGUGUGAGGUCAUGAGGACAAUUAAUUUUAGCUUUCAGAUGUUUUGAAUUAAAGGAGAUGAGCUCAGCUAUGAAGCAUGGGUACGCGUCUUUGGACCGAAUCCCGUACCGGGGACGGGGACAGGUCGGGGACGGGACGGGUACGCCCCAAAAACGUCCCCAAAACGAACCCGGGCUGGUGGGGACGGCGGGCUCAUAUGGGUAUGCCUUGGGUGUAGAGUGAAGACGUCUUGGGGACGGGUUUAGAGGCUACGAGAUGUCCCCAAGCAUUUUCUCUUUCUUCAUCUUCUUCACCUUCAUUCUUCUCCCUUCAUUUUUUUUCUUCUCUUUCUCUGCCAUUAGAAACCUUCAGCUGUUGUACUUUUCCCCCUUCUUGACCUCUGUUUUCUCUAUUCUGAUUUCUAGUUUCCCUCUCUAUUCUUUUGGUUUUAAAUUUCUGUCAUGACUCUCAAUAUGUCGACAUAUUUUACACCUUUUUCUUUCUUUUCUGAUAGAGUUUUUUCAGAAUGCAUGUGAUUGUUGUCCUUAUAUUAUAAAUAUAAUAUUCAAAUACUCUAUGAGAGAGAAUAGGAGAAGAGGAGAGACACCUCAUUCACAGCUAAAGCUAAUAUACAACUGUCGUCAACCCAUUAAAUCUUCCUCCCUUCCUUUUAAAAUUUUAAUUAUUACUCAUAAAACAUUUGAGCUCACCUCUAACUAAAGAAAAAUCGUAUAAUAUGUUUCUUAUUUUCUGAAUUUUGCUUCAACAUUAAUUAAAUUGUUCAUUCACCUAAAAGUUGUAUUUAAUUUAUGGUAGUGACUUAUAUAUGAAUAUUAAUUUAUAAAUUUCAUUUUUAUUUGCCCUCAAAAAAAAAUUAUUUUUAUUUUAUUUUUUGCUGAAUCCAAGCCGUACCCGUUUUCGAAAAUUUUGAUUUUGCCGUUUUCCGUCUCCGUACCCGCAUUCGUCCCCGUAUCCGUAUCCGUGCUACUUAUGAGCUGUAGUAUAACUUGAAAUAAGACUUAUUAAUCUAGUAUUAUAAUGAAGGUAUACUCAUAAGAGCUACGAGUGCAAAAAUGGUUGUCCCUCUUCUUAAAUAAAGCAACUCACCAAGCUUGGAGAGUAGUUGGUAUUUGGUACCAAUGAUUGUCGUUUUCGUUUGUGCUAAUAUAGAAACAUAUUUGAUUUUAAUUUAGACAACUUAUUAUGGGGAAUAAAACCUGCAUUUUGUAGCUGAAAGAUAUACUUUUUUUAUUGUCAUGCUUUUUUGAUUAUUUACUUGUAGAUAGCAUAUAUUGGCCAGUAUUCGUUGUAGCAACUUUGGCCGCAAUUGUUGCUAGUCAGGCAACCAUAUCUGCGACAUUUUCAAUUAUAAAGCAGGCUCUUGCUUUAGGCUGCUUUCCAAUAGUGAAGGUAGUACACACUUCAAAGAAAUUUCUUGGGCAAGUAUACAUUCCAGAUAUCAACUGGAUUCUUAUGAUCCUUUGCAUAGUUGUAAAUGCUGGAUUUAGGAACCAAAAUCAGAUUGGAAAUGCUUAUGGUUUUGAUAUUUUUCCUGGCUGGAGAAACCCAAAGUGGGAGAGGGAGGAUCACAUGCUUGUUGUAUUUUUAUUAAAAAAUUAAAGAGAUAAGCAGGCCGGAGUAUGCAUAUCGAACUGCGGGUUCUCCCCCAGAUAUUCCUCCAGAGUACUCGAAAAUAAUGAAGGUGCAACAUAUCAAGGACGGAUGGCUUCAAAGUAGCUACCAUCGUAUCGUCAUCUAUUUUGCUAGCGCGCUAGCUCUUAUUAGUUAGCUUAUUUUCGAGGUUACUUCACUUUGGAUAUUUUUAUUAAUUAGACUUAACUACAACAUACAAUUUGCUAUUAUGUUUAUAGAAAAAUACAUAUAUGGUUAGGAUUUUGGUGAAUAUGCAAUAUUUGUAGGGAUUUUAAUUAUCUUAGUAUAUAUACAUUUAUAAUAUAUUGAUCAAAGUAUUUUUUUUUUA
Long non-coding RNA from Beta vulgaris subsp. vulgaris (sugar beet), 2972 nucleotides. RefSeq lists it as uncharacterized. Lineage: Eukaryota; Viridiplantae; Streptophyta; Magnoliopsida; Caryophyllales; Amaranthaceae. The record is from RefSeq and is a predicted model, not a curated record. The transcript is spliced from 3 exons.